This 396-nucleotide ribosomal RNA is filed under the name uncultured bacterium. Its description in RNAcentral is "partial 16S ribosomal RNA". It matches the Rfam family "Bacterial small subunit ribosomal RNA", at positions 523 to 918 of the family's 1533-position model. The record is from RNAcentral.
AUACGUAGGGGGCGAGCGUUGUCCGGAAUGAUUGGGCGUAAAGGGCGCGCAGGCGGCGCGGUAAGUCUGGAGUGAAAGUCCUGCUUUCAAGGUGGGAAUUGCUUUGGAUACUGCCGCGCUUGAGUGCAGGAGAGGUUAUUGGAAUUCCCGGUGUAGCGGUGAAAUGCGUAGAGAUCGGGAGGAACACCAGUGGCGAAGGCGGGUAACUGGACUGCAACUGACGCUGAGGCGCGAAAGGGUGGGAGCAAACAGGAUUAGAUACCCUGGUAGUCCACACUGUAAACGAUGAAUGCUAGGUGUAAGAGGUAUCGACCCCUUUUGUGCCGGAGUCAACACAAUAAGCAUUCCGCCUGGGGAGUACGGCCGCAAGGUUGAAACUCAAAGGAAUUGACGGGG